AAAAAGAGGAGACAGCUCUCUGUCUCCUCUCCUUGUGAGUUGCAACUAUUUAUCUCCUAGAAGCAACCAAUUACACUAUUUUUUAAAU
Molecule: small RNA, 88 nt
Filed under: Listeria monocytogenes serotype 4b str. LL195
Lineage: Bacteria; Bacillati; Bacillota; Bacilli; Caryophanales; Listeriaceae
Description: Termite-leu RNA
Source: RNAcentral